UACGGAGGAUGCAAGCGUUAUCCGGAUUUAUUGGGUUUAAAGGGUGCGCAGGCGGGGGAUUAAGUCGGCGGUGAAAUUUUGCAGCUCAACUGUAAAAGUGCCUUCGAAACUGGUUUCCUUGAGUGUAGAUGAAGUAGGCGGAAUUUGUGGUGUAGCGGUGAAAUGCAUAGAUAUCACGAGGAACUCCGAUUGCGCAGGCAGCUUACUAAACUACUACUGACGCUCAGGCACGAAGGCGUGGGGAUCAAACAGGAUUAGAUACCCGCGUA
This 269-nucleotide ribosomal RNA is filed under the name uncultured prokaryote. RNAcentral describes it as "partial 16S ribosomal RNA". It matches the Rfam family "Bacterial small subunit ribosomal RNA", at positions 524 to 792 of the family's 1533-position model. The record is from RNAcentral.